AUCCAGCUGACGAGUCCCAAAUAAAAGGAGACGAGCGUCCUGGAU
This is a non-coding RNA of Schistosoma curassoni, 45 nucleotides long. The record is from Rfam. NCBI's taxonomy places the organism in Eukaryota, Metazoa, Platyhelminthes, Trematoda, Strigeidida, Schistosomatidae.